Molecule: long non-coding RNA, 5316 nt
Organism: Peromyscus californicus insignis
Lineage: Eukaryota; Metazoa; Chordata; Mammalia; Rodentia; Cricetidae
Exons: 2
Source: RefSeq, a predicted model, not a curated record
UCCAUGUCUAGUUAAGUUGAGAAUCAAGAAUAACCACCAAAAGUGUAUUUUGCUUUCUGUGGUUUGUUUAUCUUCUGUAAAAUAAGGGUUUGUGUACAUUCCUACAGAGCUUUUAUUUACUCUUCUAGGGGUUUUACGCUGAUUCCUGCCACUAACAUGAUCCAGGAGAGGUGUUUUCCUUACCCUGUCAGGGGUCUCAGUGUUCACAACAUGGAGGUCAGGGGGUAAGAAGCAGAGCCAGGCAGGAUCCUUUGAAAGUGACAGUCUUUUUUCCUGCCUUUAAUUCAUCCAGACUCACAGUCUCCAGGAUGGCUCCACCAACUUUCAUUAGAGGUCUCUCCCCUCCUCCCUCAGAUAAUCUUCCUUGGAAACACUCUUCCAGAUUUCCAGAAUGAUGUGCUAUGAGAUGAUCCUAAGUGCUGCUCAAUUCCGUCAUGCUUACUGCCAAGUUUCAACUUCUUAAUACCUCAUAAUUUUCAUCCUCCACUGGAUGAUGAAAUAACAGCAGUGUUUCCGGAAGCCACAGAAGUCAGUUUGUGGAAACAGGGAGAAGAUGGCACCUAUCACUUUGGAGGAUGGACUCACCUUGACAAUUACUGCUAAAGAGAACAAGUGGAAAGGAUGAAGCACGACUGUUAAUGGAAACCAGGAAAAUUGGCAAAUCAACAUAUUAAGAGUCAGUAAUGGACGACUAGACAUGUAAGCCAUUGGCCACAUGAAGUCAGUAGAUAAAAAUGUAUGAGAAUUACCUAGCUUCAUGAAUACCAUAUAAACAAUAUUACAAAGUAAUUCUACCAUACUCUCUAUGAAUGAUCCCCUUACUAAAUAGAGGUCUAAACACUGGCAUGGAAGCUGUGAAAGAUUUGAGGGUAGAAAAAGAAAUAUCUUUAGUUGACAUGGGGACUGGGAAUGGUGUUCCUGGAAGGUAGACCUUUAAGAGAGAUUGGAUAGACUGACGAAAAGUUUUUAUGCAGCCUACAACAGUCCACUGUAUUAAAUCUUCCCUUUUGAGAAUGUCACAAAACUUGUAUAGUACAGAAAAAUAGCCAGAUCUAGGCAAAACUGUCCACCUGGUGUGAAUUGUGUAACCCACUUUUCAAAUCUGAGCAGUGUCCUUCUGUAAAGUCAUCUGAAAAAAAAUAACCUGAUAGAUUCUCCUUUCUGCAGUAGCAGGAUCCUACAUGAAAGCAGAGAUGGGUUUUAGUAACCUAGUCCUCUGUUUCUUUCAGAGUCUCUGUGGGAAAGGCAGGCAGGCAAGCAAGGUGGAGCUGAAUUCCAAAGGCCUGGAGCUCUGUCUCUGCUGUGCUCCUUCUGUUUACUUAGUUUCUAACCUUUGACAAUGAUGCUCUUAACACCAGCAACAUCAGCAGUAGAAAUGACAACCACAGUCACCAUUUAUGAGUAUUCAGUGAGGCUGGAUAAUGCACGAAUGAAUGAAUGUUUAGCUGGGCUGGAUAUUGCACAAAUGAAUGUUUAGCUGGGCUGGAUAUUGCAUGAAUGAAUGAAUGUUUAGCUGGGCUAGAUAUUGCAUGAAUGAAUGAAUGUUUAGCUAGGCUGGAUAUUGCACAAAUGAAUGUUUAGCUGGACUGGACUUUCCAUGAUGUGCUUGACAACCACCCUUGUCUUUACUAACUUGUGCAGGUGACUUAAUUCUCUGCUGCAGCUUCUAAAUUUACAGAUUAUAAGUAUUAAUAGCAUCUAGUUUUGAUUGUCAAAUGAGUUAAUACCAGAAACAUGUUUAGAAUAUUCCUGGACGUAUUGUUACAAAUUCUUAUUAUUUCAUAUAAUUUUCAAAGCAAAAUUUUAAAACUAGUAGUUGUAAGUUUUCCCCCCAAUUUACAGAUAAACAUAUUGAGACUCAAAAAUAUUGGCUAACGUCUUUAAGACUGUAGAGCUAGGAAGAGACAGAAUCAGGGCUUAAACUUUCAAAUGUUUUGCUUUUUAGCUACUCCACCAUGCUGGUUCUCCCUCAGCUCCAGCUACACCACGUAAACCCCUUUGAUUAGUUUUCUGUUGAACCCAUCAGGGGUUUUCACAUGUCUUUUUCUUUUGCCCAUCUUGUUAUGCCUCUAUCUGAAUAGCUUUAUUAGCUUUGUCAAGCCAAUGACAUCAAAAUUACCCUGCAGGGCCUGCUCACUUGCCACUUCUCUCUCACCCCUCUUCUCCACCUUCACGGAGCUAAUUGCUCCUCUGUGUUGUUUUAACACUUAGCUCACCUGUCUCCCUUACAGCAUUUAUCACAUUGUCUCAUACCCUGUUGAUGUCUUCAGUGCGAGAUGAUGAGCUUCUUUGCAGCACAGAGUAAAGUUUAUUGAAAAUGUUAGACUCUCUGCCAGGGCCUCACAGGGAUGCGCUCACUGAAACUUCUCAACAGCUCUAGAAUUCGUACACCACUGUAAUCCUAUUUCUGUUGUUAAGGCAGAAUCUAACCUUAAAUGCAGGCAUAAUGAAUUGUUAUCACAUUAAAGUUAGGUUUCAGUAAACAAAUGUUUAGUAAAAAGGAUAGGAAAGUCAUUUUCAUGGGAGAAAAUCAACAUUAAGUUCAGCAUUUUUUUUUUUGAUGGAAGACAAAGGAACAAACUCUACUUCAUCUAUCUAAUUGUUUUUUCUUUUCUUAAGUCUGUAAAAAGAAGCAAAUGAUUAGCUGUGGCUAGUUCAAGCCCAGUUCUUAAUCCAUCUUUAACAUCUUUGGUAGUACAAUCCCUUGCCCAAGGUAUAAUGGAUACCUUACUCCCUCGUCUUGUGAUCUUGAGUACCCAUGUAAGUUAAAUGCUUCAAUAGUUUACUAUCUAUCCAAAAAUCUCAUAAAACAUGUCCUGAAUGACAAUAUCAGCUUUAAUAUUAGUGACAAGAAUCUAAUAUUUUCCACACUGUGUCCUUAGGCAUGAGAAGGAGCUGGCAGCUGGCUGUGAAGGCCGGGUGUGAACCCUUCAACCUCCAACUGACCUGUGGCUUCCUAGAGGUCUGUUUGUACAGCCACUUUAGGGAAACACAUUCUCCCGGGUUUCCUCUGGAGCAUCAGAGGAUCUGCUGCUUAAUCAACUUCCUGACUUGGGGAGAGGAAACUGACUUUAAAAGCCUUUUAACCCAAAGGGUUUGGACAGCUAAUGGACAAGAUCCUCUUGGCAAAAGGAGAUGAUGCAAAAGCUCCUUCCCUUGUUUAAAAACAAAGCUUUACUUAUGUAACGUUUUUAUAAAGUUAAAGGCUUUCGGUUUUACUAGUUAUUUUUGGAAUCUGUCACAUUGCAUCAUAAGGCAAACUAUUUGUCAGUCUGGCUAACCCCAAAUCUCCACUAUGUUUCUCCUCUUUUUUUAAAAAAACUAUUCUUUUAACUCACUUGCCAUUUACAAAUGGUGUCUUCAUUUUAAGCACCAUGCAGGCUUAAUUUCAUCUCAAUAUUGAGCAAUUCUUUAAUGCGAGGUAAAUAAAGUUUCUGAAGGUCUAGAAAAGGCACAAAAUCAAUGGCAUGUCUAUAAUUGAAUAGGACAAUAAAAUUUCAUUAGUGAACAGAUAAUAACUCAUAAUUUCUAUUCAAAAUAUUCAUAAAUUCUAUCACCAAAGAAAAAAAUAAUGUAUUUUUUGUCAUGAAAAAACAAAAUCACAAAACUUGGGAAUAUUAAAUAAUUCACACACUCAGAGAAUUUAUCUUGACUUUAGUAUCACUAGCCAGUGUUUGAAACAUGUCAUUAUUUAGCACCCAUUUUUCUUCUGAGUAUGGAAUUGAUGUAAGUUGGAAUUUUGAGUGUAAACAAGUUAUAGUCUAUGCUACCCAUGGAAUAAGAUAGAAUAAAAACUCAAAUUUGUCUAAUGUUGAGUGUGGAGAAGUAAGGAGUGGAGUUUGGGUUCUAUCUACAACUUCCCAGCAGUAAUCCCAGGUGCAGCACAGUUCAGCAGUUAAAUGACUUAGCUGAAAGGUGUAUAUAUGCAUAAUUAUGAAUAUAUUUCAUUGUACUUUUAAUAGAAACAACUGCUGGAGGUCAAACAUACUUUUCAACUAUAGAGCACUCAGGAGUUGUAUUUUUACCCCAAUAAGGAGCAGUAGACAUCUUAAAGGGGUGGAUCACUUUAAUAAUAAAGAUCCACCUCAUUUCAUAUAUUAUUUCUAUUUUUGUUGGCACCAGGAAAGAGCCCCUGACAAUAAUCACUAAGAUGCACAGGGACAAAUCUGUCAUUUGAUUGUACUUUACCAAGACAUUUUCAUGACACUUUGAGAGAAGCAUGACUCUAGCAGAAGAGACUCACCUCUAAGUCUCUUGAAGGAAUUGAAUUACCUCUUGUGGAAGUAAACAAUUAGGACACAGUGGGGGUGAGGAGACACUUGACAUGUAGGUUUCUCUGUGACUUUAUACAAACUGUUUAUAACAUGGGAACUAUUUUGAAAACACAGCAUGGUGAGGGUCCUGACACUUUCCUUAGAAUGUAGCAAAAACUGCCCCAUAGUUGAGGGUGUAUGAUAUAUAAAAGAUUCCAAGGCAAACCAGGAGAUAAGGCAUUAGAGAGACGGUAGAAGCAAACUUAAUUUGUAAUCAUUAAUUCCGACCUCACCCUAGGAGUAUUUAUUGUCUUAGCACCCACAACUCGCCGUUGUUAUUCCAUAUCUGUUGAUUCUUUCUCACUUGACUAAGCUCAAGAGGAGCUCCUUCUGUCAUGUGUUCUUCAGUCCCCACAGCGUGAAACCAGAACCUAGGAUGAAUUUACUGAACAAAUGAAUAAAUGAGCAAGCUACUCAGGUAAGCAUCCAUAGAAAUGUUGAUGAUUGGGAAAGUGGCCACAUCCAAGAGUUAACAACGACAAUCAGUUAAUUCUAUAGAGCAUGAUGGUGUUGAAAUUCAAUUAGCCAACAUCUGGAGAAGAUAGUCAAUUGAUUUUCCUAUUUACAAUUAAUGUUUUUCAACUGUAAUCAAUUUUGUUAUUCAAAUCAAGCCCAUGUAGAAAACCAGGCAAGCUACUCACCUCAGUCUGCCUUAGUUAAUAUCUGCAUGAGAUUCCACAGUCACAAGCAUAUAAAUCCACUGUGUAUAAAAGGAACCAGAUGACGAGUACAGGCAUAUCCACUGAAAAACACUACCACUAUGAUGGAAAACAAUGUAAAGACUGUUCAGCUCCAUAGUGUAAUUAGUCCAAGAGGAACCCAUUAUUUAUUGAUGGUGAGUCUUUCUCAAUGGGAAACUGGACUCUCCAUUGAGGAUGUAUUUUUAUGGAACGAAGAUUAGUAAAAAUUUCAAGUGGAAUUAAUUACCAACUGUUCUUUACUGACUAUUGAAAUGGUUGCCAAAAUAGAUAAUGUGUUUUGCUCAUAAAGACAAUGGAAAUGA